This 495-nucleotide ribosomal RNA is filed under the name Staphylococcus agnetis. RNAcentral describes it as "bacterial SSU rRNA". It matches the Rfam family "Bacterial small subunit ribosomal RNA", at positions 79 to 559 of the family's 1533-position model. Lineage: Bacteria; Bacillati; Bacillota; Bacilli; Caryophanales; Staphylococcaceae. The record is from RNAcentral.
CUUGCUCCUUUGACGUUAGCGGCGGACGGGUGAGUAACACGUGGGUAACCUACCUAUAAGACUGGAAUAACUCCGGGAAACCGGGGCUAAUGCCGGAUAACAUGUUGAACCGCAUGGUUCAACAGUGAAAGACGGUCUUGCUGUCACUUAUAGAUGGACCCGCGCCGUAUUAGCUAGUUGGUAAGGUAACGGCUUACCAAGGCGACGAUACGUAGCCGACCUGAGAGGGUGAUCGGCCACACUGGAACUGAGACACGGUCCAGACUCCUACGGGAGGCAGCAGUAGGGAAUCUUCCGCAAUGGGCGAAAGCCUGACGGAGCAACGCCGCGUGAGUGAUGAAGGUCUUCGGAUCGUAAAGCUCUGUUGUUAGGGAAGAACAUAUGUGUAAGUAACUGUGCACAUCUUGACGGUACCUAACCAGAAAGCCACGGCUAACUACGUGCCAGCAGCCGCGGUAAUACGUAGGUGGCAAGCGUUAUCCGGAAUUAUUGGGC